Molecule: long non-coding RNA, 384 nt
Organism: Ornithodoros turicata
Lineage: Eukaryota; Metazoa; Arthropoda; Arachnida; Ixodida; Argasidae
Exons: 3
Source: RefSeq, a predicted model, not a curated record
GCACCAUACGCAAGCGACACGGUACGCUUAAUCUGCCUUGCCAACGAAACAAGCUAUGAACGGCAUAUUUGGCGCUGUGACGUUGAGUGUCCUCUUCGUGGCGCUGCUCUUGUUAUCAGACCAUUUUACCAAGUGUGAGCCCGCCCGUCAACAGAAGCCCACAACCAUGAAAUCAGUCUGUCCAAAGACGAAGUGCGUAGUCGGAGGGUCUGGCUGUGGUUCCGAAUGCUACUGCAAGACACCAAGUGUGAGCAAUCGGCGUUACGGAAAAAACGAAGGUUCCUGCUGGAAAAAGGUCUCAACCCGUCGAACUCCAACUGAUUUCAAUCUAGCAGACGCAUUGUGAUCGACGUUCGAAUGGAAAUUUGAAAUAAAAUUUGCAUA